CUUCAUCCACCAGAUUGAAGGCUCCCCAUUUGUUACAAAACACAUGUAAACUGAACAAUACAGCCUUCUAAAAGCAAGUCCCUGUAUGGGUAUCUUUCCAUCAUCAUGCAGCUCAGAUUGGACCAGGAUGGACUGGACAACUCACUGUGGGGAAGCAGGCCAUGUCUCAUAAUAUGUUAUGUCCAAUCCUCUGUGUUUAGACAGCCAGGUCACACCAAAUCCACUUCAGUAUUCAACGUUUAUCAGGGUCCCCGGGACAUCAGGAGAUGCCUUCAAUACCGGCCACUAGGAGCAACGUGAGCGCCUAUUACCAUAGAGGAAUGGCUUAAACCACGCUAUGACUCCGAGGAUCGCGGGUUCAAUCCCAGUGCUUGGCACUCGUUUAUAUUUUUUCUGUUUUAACCCUAUCUCUUACCUUAACCAGUUUCAAUUCAUGCUUAAACUUAACGGGACAUUUCACCCUGGCUCUGCCACUGCAUAUAGUCAUUACUAUGUUAACAACAUUACGUUUUUGUCAUAAACAUAAAAGGUUAUCCAUACCACAAGCAUUUCACUGGUAGAAUCAGGAAGUUUUGACUUCCUGUGGAUUUGUCUGCUCAUAGUGAACCACAAAGUCUGACAUUCAUAGCGAAUGCAGAUACCGCCCCGCUAGGUAGAUGGGGCGUGCCCACAAACUUGAUUCAUGGCAUUGUUUACUUUGAAACGCACAGUAAUCUCAGAACUUCUCUAGGUUUGUUUUUCACUAACAUUUGUCAUCAUGCCCGCGUGGUGUUCUGUGCCUGGCUGUGCGAAUACCAAACAAGCGCUAAAAAUGAGUUAUCUUUCACCGUUCUACCUACCAGAGAUUUACCCUGAUGCUGCCAGUGGCUUGUGGCUAUCAAGAAUGAUGUUUAUGGUGACCAAAGAUUAUCCGAGGGAUUUUUUAGGCUGAACUGAUGGGAAUCCAUUUCGACGGCAGCUUUUUCCCCUUCACAACAAAACAGAAGAAUCUCAAUUAGAGGUGGUACAGAAUCUGAUUCCACCAGCAUGUUCUUCCAACCCCUAGCUCUGCACAAGGUGAAGGUUAUCUGGAGUCCUUCCAUGGUGCCCUUCUGAAAUAUACACAAGCAUGAGGGCGCGGACACACCUUGCAGUUAUGGAGCACAACAAGAUUGUGGGACAGAAACCAGCAAGGGAUAAUGAAAGGAGACGUGCAGUGCCAGCAAAUCUUCUGCAAGAGGUCCAAACAGUUGGUGGUUAAGAAGGUCUACGAGCCCUGCACUCACUACUUCCGGCAGAGUCUUAUCCAGCUGGCCGUACACCACAGACAGGACAUGACCAUUCACCACAAGCACAUGGAGUCUCAGCUUCCCCUCCUGAGAUCCCUCCUUAGAUGUGUGCAAACCUGGUGGCCAACUACAAGAAACGUCUGACCUCUGUGAUUGCCAACAAGGGUU
This is a long non-coding RNA of Coregonus clupeaformis (lake whitefish), 1436 nucleotides long. RefSeq lists it as uncharacterized. Lineage: Eukaryota; Metazoa; Chordata; Actinopteri; Salmoniformes; Salmonidae. The transcript is spliced from 4 exons. The record is from RefSeq and is a predicted model, not a curated record.